GCCGACCUUCUAGUGAUAGAGGUGCUAACUUGCACUCGGGUGUGUGGUGUGCCUUUAACAACUUUGGCUUCGUUUGAUGCAAGUCAUUGGCUUUUAGGCCUCUAAAAUUUUGAAUAACCUUGAUUCAUACUUCAUGGCUGCAAAACUCAUUCAAGUUAUUGUAUAUCAAAAUUAUAAUGUUCAACUAGAACUCAUUCCAAAUGCAUUUUUAUCUGUUUCCAUGUUAU
RNAcentral lists this unclassified non-coding RNA (227 nucleotides) under Hevea brasiliensis (rubber tree). The record is from RNAcentral. Lineage: Eukaryota; Viridiplantae; Streptophyta; Magnoliopsida; Malpighiales; Euphorbiaceae.